Sphaerodactylus townsendi is the source of this 1103-nucleotide long non-coding RNA. RefSeq lists it as uncharacterized. The record is from RefSeq and is a predicted model, not a curated record. Lineage: Eukaryota; Metazoa; Chordata; Lepidosauria; Squamata; Sphaerodactylidae. The transcript is spliced from 4 exons.
GAGGAGAGGGGACAAAGGAGAUCCUAAGGACCUAAGCCAUUUGUUGCUUUGUAACUCAAACAGCAUCGUACAUUAUGCUCAGGGAGAUGCUAAAAGUGAAACCCUGGACAUUUGAGCAAGAUGGAGGUAUUGUAUCAUAUAAAACAUGGAGGUGUUGUUUUUGUUGAAGGUGUAGGAAGCAUUUCUUGGGAAUUGACAUAGGAACCUUAUAUAAGAGCGGAAUGUAAAAGAAAGGUCAUGAAAGCUUUAAUGCCAUUUCUGGAUGUGUUAGCAGAAACAAGGCCACGGCUCUAGGGUCCAUAGAGGAUUUGGUUGGAAAGCACAUAGUGCAACAACCUUGCAGAAGCAAAGCACGUCUGGGUUUAGUCAGUGAUUGAAUGGGAGGCCACCUGCGAACCCCUCCAUAUGCCGGUUCUAUGAGGAAAAAAGGUAAGGCUGAAGAGAUAAUAAUACCGGUAAGUAGUAAAAUGAAACAUAGGCAAACAAACCUUCCGGUAAUGUUAGUUGUUUCUUAGUCUUGGAAAUGUGUUCUAGUUUUAACAGCUACAUCUAAAUUAAGUUUUAACCAGACUGGGGAGAAUUUAGGAAGCUGCAGAGAAGACAAAGAGCAUGAAGGAUAUCACUAGGAUCUUUGCGUCACUGAGCAAACAGGUAAUGGGUGAGACAACAGUGAAAAGUAAGGGAACAGAGAAAAAUAAAAUCCUCAGGACAAUUUUGUAAUGGAAAAUAACUUUGCUUUCACUAUUGACAUGGGAAGCACAACCAUCCACAAGGGUAUCAUCUCACUGAUCCCCUCUGGGUUUCCUUCUACUUCCUUCUACAUUUUGCUAGAAAUAAUUCAUGACAUAUUGAAAAGUUUGUGGUGAGACUGAAAAAGAGAUUGAAAAGGUGUUUGUUACAUCACAGGCACAGCUUUUGUUAACUGAGCUAUAUUUACCAUAUACCAUACACCAAGUAAUGUAUUUCUUUGACAGCUGACAACUUAGUUUCAAGAACACUGAACCAGGGGUGGCUUGGAAGGAAAAAACAGCCCAAUAAAAGGACCACAUGCCCCCUGGGGAGUAGAGAAACAUCUUGCCACAGUAUUUCCAUGCCACAUGCAA